Molecule: long non-coding RNA, 2074 nt
Filed under: Gossypium barbadense (sea-island cotton)
Lineage: Eukaryota; Viridiplantae; Streptophyta; Magnoliopsida; Malvales; Malvaceae
Description: long non-coding RNA (GBAR_LNC013997)
Source: RNAcentral
UCCCUUCAUGCACCUGUCUGUUUUUGUCCCCCCAAAUAGCCCAGAUUACACAUGUUAUUUCCUUGCACUUAUCCUUAGAAUGCACAAAGAACAAAUAGUCCAUCCACUAUCAGUAUCUCUCAUUCGGCUGUCCUCCCAAAUAGCCCAGAUUGCACAUGUUAUUUCUUUGCACUUAUCCUUAGAAUGCACAAGGAACAACCAAACCAUCCAUUGUUUGUAUCUCUCAUUAGACUAAUCUUUAGGCCAUUGGAUUUUUAACUUACUCCAUAAAUAGAUAAUAUUUUGUAAAUAAAAGAAGUUAGAUUCAUAAUUAAGUAAUGAUACAAUGUUAUAAAAAGUAUUUUUAUACAAAGUAAAAAAAUAAAUCAUAAUGAUUUGUUUGUUUAUGUCCUCUUUUAUUUCAUCAAAAGAAACAAAAUCAUAAAAUAAAACAGUUUAGUGAAUUGGAGAAGUUAUUUCUUUUUUUGGUAAUGAUUUGUUUGUUUAUGUGCUCUUUUAUUUCAUCAAAAGAAACAAAAUCAUAAAAUAAAACAAUUUAGUGAAUUGGAGAAGUUAUUUCUUUUUUUCUUUUUUGGUGAAAAGAAACAAAUUACAAAAAACUAAUUAAGUUAAUUUCUCUAAGAGAGAAUCUUCAAACAGUCUAAGGCCUCAUCUCUUAUCGCGAACCAUCUUGACAAGUUCAUUUGUGAUUUUAUUCUCCUUGCAAAGAUAUAUUGAAUUUUCCAUUGUCUUACUAAAUCCAAUAGCUAGUGAAUUCUCUUGAUAAAAUACGAAUUAGAAUCCCCAACGAUACAUCUUGAAUUGCAUUAACGGGUUCAAGACUAUUAGUCUGAAUUAGAACACUACCAUAAUCCCGUUGCAGAGUAAGCUUCAAAACAUCUAGGAUACCCUAGAGUUCGGCGUCAACAACCAUGCACAUGCCUAAAUAUCUACUAAAAUAGAAGAUAUAGUCCUCAUUGUGGUUACAUACAAAUCCUCGGGCAACAACAAAACUGUCCUCAUUUCUAACCAAACCAUCUGUAGUCAGGUGUACGUAAUUCUUUGUUGGAUCCGGUCCUACAACGAGACUUUGUGAACCAUACUUAAAAGAUUUGGAAACAAAAGUGAAUUAGUUUUCCCAACUAAUAGAAACCAUGAUGAUUUCAUUAAUAUUCCAUAAGGAACCCUGGAAAAUGUAGAGGUUACGGUUUUUCUAAAUGCGCUAAGAAAUCAUCCCAAAAAGGCAUGGCGAAUCAACUCAUUUCAGACAAAAAAAAACCAUUAAUUAAGAAGGUUCCUUGGUAUCCAUUCAUAAAGAGGUUUAAAGUAAAAAAUAGAUAUCUUAUUUGUAGGGAUGAGCUUAUUCCAAAUAUCUCUAGCCACAAGGCAAUCCCUAAGAACAUGUAAUACAUUCUUGAUACCAAAUCCACAUAUUACACAUGCACUGUCAUUUCCUAUUCCUCUUAUUACCUUUUUCAUGUUUGUUAGUAAGUGUUCUUUAAAAGCAAGCCAUAGAAAGUAUCUAACUCAUUGAGGUCCUUGGGACUUCCACAGUAACUACCAAAUGGGUUCUUUUGAAUUCCAAAAGCUUGUUGAAGCUCUUGGAACUUUUGAAUUCCAAAUGGGAGCUUUUGAAUUCCAAGCUCUUGGAAAUUUUGAGGGAAAAGGAACCUAUCUAAGUGCCCCCCAAACGAUCCUAUCAGGUCUAAAUAAAAAAUAAAGAGGUGGGAUUCCAAUAAUUGUAUUGAUGAUGUCUUCAUUAACCCAUAAUCUGAAGAAGUCUAAGUUCUAAGAGCUGUCAUCCGUAACCAUAUUACUAAUAGGACAAUUCAUGUCAAAAUUAGUGCAAGAAGAAAUCUGUUUAAACAAGAGACUGAUAUUCGAAAUCCAAGGGUCUUGCAAACAAUUUAUACAAUUCCUAUCACCUACUAACCAAAUUAAAAUUUCUCGAACAAGAGGCCAUACCUUUGUGAGGGAUCUCCAUAAAAAGGAACAUCUCCCAUUCCUUAGAGAUUUAGGUAAUCUGUUUUGAACCCCGUACUUCAAUCUGAGGACCCUAACCCAAAGGGCAUUGGAAUUGGUCAUAACAUUGAAA